Molecule: ribosomal RNA, 235 nt
Filed under: uncultured fungus
Lineage: Eukaryota; Fungi
Description: partial 18S ribosomal RNA
Rfam family: Eukaryotic small subunit ribosomal RNA
Source: RNAcentral
AAGAUUAAGCCAUGCAUGUCUAAGUAUAAACAAAUUCAUACUGUGAAACUGCGAAUGGCUCAUUAAAUCAGUUAUAGUUUAUUUGAUGGUAUCUUGCUACAUGGAUAACUGUGGUAAUUCUAGAGCUAAUACAUGCUGAAAAGCCCCGACUUCUGGAAGGGGUGGUAUUUAUUAGAUAAAAACCAAAUGGGUGCAAGCCCUCUAUGGUGAAUCAUGAUAACUUCUCGAAUCGCAU